Long non-coding RNA from Macaca fascicularis (crab-eating macaque), 2530 nucleotides. Lineage: Eukaryota; Metazoa; Chordata; Mammalia; Primates; Cercopithecidae. The record is from Ensembl.
AUGGGGUGGGAUAGGCCACAGCGGAGCAGUGGGGCUUCAGGGACUGGCUGCGGCCCCACCCCACAGGCAGGCACAGGUCCUGGAGGACACACCUGGGUUUUCUCCUCCUCCACCAGGACCCUGGCCUGCAGAAGGCCCCUCACCACGCCGACAGGGGCCUGUAAAAUGCAAACCCAGCUGUAUCCACCAACUGCUUCCACCACGCAGGUGAAGCUGCCUUCUGCCCAGGGCCAGGAGCUCACGGGGCGUGGCCCGGCCACCUCGGCGACUUCAUGGAGCACCACCCACCUUCACCCUUCACUGAGCCCCCACAGCCCUGCGCCUCGGGGGACCCACCCCGGCGGGGCUUCGCUCCAGGCGGGGCUGGGCUGUCGCUGGCUCCACUGGGCCCCUCACACAUGCUGUUCCCACCUCUGGAACACGGUUCCUGACUACUCCCGUCACCUCACCCCACUCACUUGGAAAGGUGGACGCCCGUCACAGCCCCACCCCGACCUGUGUAGCUCUGUGUGGGGCCCUGGCCGCACUGUAAGUUCCACAAGCCUCUGUGGACCGCGCGGGUGGCCGUCUCUCCCCAUGCCCAGCACAGUAGCCAGCACAUCCUGGAGGUGCACGCGGUGUGUGCCAGGUGGAGGGACCACGAAACUUCAUGAAGCUCCGUGUCACCAAGGACCAUCACUGAGGGCAGAGGCGCCCCCAUGUCUGUGUUUCAUGUCAGACAUCAAACUCCUGGAAAACGGCAGCUCGAAGGCCUCCUACUCCUGCGUGGGACAAGGGCUCUGGUGGUCGCCCACCCCGCCCCCAGGUCUCCACCUCCACACCCCCUCCUCCCCUCGGAGAGCCCAGGGCCGAAUCCCCACACCCAGCCCCUUUCCCCUGGGCUUCCCCACUGCUUAUGGGUCCCGCCAAGCCUCGAGCCCCCCAGGAGGGCCUUGGUAACAGGGCUCAGGGCCGCCCGUCUGAGCUGCUCCCCUGGAAGGUGGCGUGGCAGCCCUCGGCUCCUCCUGGGCAAACCCAAGGCCGGCGACCGAUUCACGCCCCGGGUGACCCUGACAGCGCCAGCUCCAGCAGCACAUCUCACCAGGAGGGCCGCCUCUGUUUAGAAAAACCGGAAAGUGCGUGAGCGAAUUCUACACCCCCAGAGUCUUCUUGAGUAGAAGUGGCCACGGCUCCCAGGUGGCUCAGAUGGGGUUGGCGUGAGCUAGUUAUUGAUGGAAAUGUGACUUGGUGGGAAGGUUCCGGAAGGGGCAGUGAGGCGAGGUGGGGCAGGAAUGAGGAGAUGACACCACAGAAAUUCAAAAACCCCGAGCAGUGGCUCCCCACCUGUGCUUCUCGUACUCCCAGGGUCCCCGCACACUGGAGCGGGUCCCCUCCCCACCAGCUCGAAGUCCGAGACAGGCGGGGUGGUGGCCGGGAGGCCGCUGUGGGGAGGGGCUGACCAGGGUCUGGGGUGCACAGAUUUCCCUUUGGGAAUAAAAGUCACGGUGGGAAGUUUGAGGAAGAGGGAGGUGAGCGCCACGCUCCUGGGUGCUCCAUGGACGGGCGUCCUGUUAAGCCAGGGCUUGGGCUGGGUGAGCCUGAGGCACAGAGGCAGCGAAGGCAGGAUUUGCUAGAGUUAGGAAGGUCCUUCCACCCCCUCCUCCAUGUGUCUGGCCUGCCAUCCUUCUGACCUAGAGAGACACAGAGAAGGAGAGACAGAGACAGACGGAGACAGAGAUGGAGAGACAGAGAGAGAUAGUGAUGGAGAGACAGAGAGACAGAGAUGGAGAGACAGAGAUAGAGACAGAGAUGGAGAGACGGAGAGACAGAGAGACGGAGAGACAGAGACAGACAGAGACAGAGAUGGAGAGACAGAGAGAGACAGACAGAGAUAGAGAGACAGAGAGAGUGAUGGAGAGACAGAGGCAGACAGAGAUGGAGAGACAGAGACAGAGACAGAGAUGGAGAGACAGAGAGAGACAGACAGAGAGAGAGAGACACAAGACAUCAGUGGUCUGGGUCUGUGUCCGUGGUUGGAUCUUGGGCUGCAGGUGACCAUCGAGGACUGAGCUGUGAGGGAGACGGGGUCGGAGCUGGGCCAGCCGGGAGGGGCAGGGCACGCUGGAGCGGAAGGCAGCCGGUGGAUCCCCACAUAUGUGAGCUGUUCCAUUUUUCUGUCACAGAGAAGGGCAGAGACGAUCUCACUCCCGUGGCUCGGACUUUGUCAGGGAACCAAGAAAUGCAGCAGGAGGAGUGUGGUCUCCUUCCUUAUCACGACUGACAUGGAAAAAUCACAAGGCAGGCAGCCUCCCUGUGGCAGAGGCCCGAGGCAGGUGCUGCUCAACCCCGGGACAACAGCACCCAUACGGGGACAGUGGAAAGAGAAAAGGAAGAGAGUCCAGGGGGUGGGCUGUGAGGAUCAGGGGCUGGGGCCCCAUGCCAUGGGCUGGUCUCCCUCCAUGGAUAUGCCAGGGUACCCUCUUCACCUGCCAUCCUCAUCAUAGGUGGUGUUGGUCAUCUGUGACCUUCCUGGUAUCUACCCCCCCACAAC